AUUGAACGCUGGCGGCAUGCCUUACACAUGCAAGUCGAACGGUAACAGGUCUUCGGAUGCUGACGAGUGGCGAACGGGUGAGUAAUACAUCGGAACGUGCCUAGUAGUGGGGGAUAACUACUCGAAAGAGUGGCUAAUACCGCAUGAGAUCUACGGAUGAAAGCAGGGGAUCGCAAGACCUUGUGCUACUAGAGCGGCCGAUGGCAGAUUAGGUAGUUGGUGGGAUAAAAGCUUACCAAGCCGACGAUCUGUAGCUGGUCUGAGAGGACGAUCAGCCACACUGGGACUGAGACACGGCCCAGACUCCUACGGGAGGCAGCAGUGGGGAAUUUUGGACAAUGGGCGCAAGCCUGAUCCAGCAAUGCCGCGUGCAGGAUGAGGGCCUUCGGGUUGUAAACUGCUUUUGUACGGAACGAGAAGCCCUGGGUUAAUACCCUGGGGUCAUGACGGUACCGUAAGAAUAAGCACCGGCUAACUACGUGCCAGCAGCCGCGGUAA
This 498-nucleotide ribosomal RNA is filed under the name uncultured bacterium. RNAcentral's name for it is "partial 16S ribosomal RNA". It matches the Rfam family "Bacterial small subunit ribosomal RNA", at positions 30 to 523 of the family's 1533-position model. The record is from RNAcentral.